AACGAACGCUGGCGGCGUGUUUAAGACAUGCAAGUUGAACGGGGAAUCUUUGGAGCUUGCUUUGAGGAUUCCUAGUGGCGCACGGGUGAGUAACACGUGAGUAACAUGCCUCGUAGAGGGGAAUAGCCCGCCGAAAAGGCGGAUUAAUACCCCAUGGUCCCGCAAGGGUAAAGUGGCUUCGGCUGCCGCUACGAGAUUGGCUCGCGUCCUAUCAGCUUGUUGGUGAGGUAACGGCUCACCAAGGCAACGACGGGUAGCUGGUCUGAGAGGACGAUCAGUCACACUGGAACUGAGACACGGUCCAGACACCUACGGUGGCAGCAGUCGAGAAUAAUUCACAAUGGGGGAAACCCUGAAUGGUGCAACGCCGCGUGGAGGAUGAAGGUCUUCGGAUUGUAAACUCCUGUCAUUUUUGAGAGUAAAGACCUGGCGGUUAAUAGCCGACAGGGUU
This 451-nucleotide ribosomal RNA is filed under the name uncultured bacterium. Its description in RNAcentral is "bacterial SSU rRNA". It matches the Rfam family "Bacterial small subunit ribosomal RNA", at positions 29 to 470 of the family's 1533-position model. The record is from RNAcentral.